ACCGCGAGGUGGAGCGAAUCUCCAAAAAUUGUCCCAGUUCAGAUUGCAGGCUGCAACUCGCCUGCAUGAAGUCGGAAUUGCUAGUAAUCGUGGAUCAGCAUGCCACGGUGAAUACGUUCCCGGGCCUUGUACACACCGCCCGUCACACCAUGGGAGUCGGUAACACCCGAAGCCUGUAGUCUAACCGCAAGGAGGACGCAGUCGAAGGUGGGAUUGAUGACUGGGGUGAAGUCGUAACAAGGUAGC
Molecule: ribosomal RNA, 246 nt
Filed under: uncultured bacterium
Lineage: Bacteria
Description: partial 16S ribosomal RNA
Rfam family: Bacterial small subunit ribosomal RNA
Source: RNAcentral